GAUGAACGCUGGCGGCGUGCCUAAUACAUGCAAGUCGAGCGAAUGGAUUAAGAGCUUGCUCUUAUGAAGUUAGCGGCGGACGGGUGAGUAACACGUGGGUAACCUGCCCAUAAGACUGGGAUAACUCCGGGAAACCGGGGCUAAUACCGGAUAACAAUUUGAACCGCAUGGUUCGAAAUUGAAAGGCGGCUUCGGCUGUCACUUAUGGAUGGACCCGCGUCGCAUUAGCUAGUUGGUGAGGUAACGGCUCACCAAGGCAACGAUGCGUAGCCGACCUGAGAGGGUGAUCGGCCACACUGGGACUGAGACACGGCCCCGACUCCUACGGGAGGCAGCAGUAGGGAAUCUUCCGCAAUGGACGAAAGUCUGACGGAGCAACGCCGUGUGAGUGAUGAAGGCUUUCGGGUCGUAAAACUCUGUUGUUAGGGAAGAACAAGUGCUAGUUGAAUGAGCUGGCACCUUGACGGUACCUAACUAGAAAGCCACGGCUAACUACGUGCCAGCCGCCGCAGUAA
This 515-nucleotide ribosomal RNA is filed under the name uncultured bacterium. RNAcentral describes it as "partial 16S ribosomal RNA". It matches the Rfam family "Bacterial small subunit ribosomal RNA", at positions 28 to 523 of the family's 1533-position model. The record is from RNAcentral.